Molecule: ribosomal RNA, 2486 nt
Filed under: Campylobacter coli
Lineage: Bacteria; Pseudomonadati; Campylobacterota; Epsilonproteobacteria; Campylobacterales; Campylobacteraceae
Description: partial 23S ribosomal RNA
Rfam family: Bacterial large subunit ribosomal RNA
Source: RNAcentral
UGGACUGCCUUUUGCAUAAUGAGCCUGCGAGUUGUGGUGUCUGGCAAGGUUAAGCAAACGCGAAGCCGUAGCGAAAGCGAGUCUGAAUAGGGCGCUUAGUCAGAUGCUGCAGACCCGAAACGAAGUGAUCUAUCCAUGAGCAAGUUGAAGCUAGUGUAAGAACUAGUGGAGGACUGAACCCAUAGGCGUUGAAAAGCCCCGGGAUGACUUGUGGAUAGGGGUGAAAGGCCAAUCAAACUUCGUGAUAGCUGGUUCUCUCCGAAAUAUAUUUAGGUAUAGCGUUGUGUCGUAAUAUAAGGGGGUAGAGCACUGAAUGGGCUAGGGCAUACACCAAUGUACCAAACCCUAUCAAACUCCGAAUACCUUAUAUGUAAUCACAGCAGUCAGGCGGCGAGUGAUAAAAUCCGUCGUCAAGAGGGAAACAACCCAGACUACCAGCUAAGGUCCCUAAAUCUUACUUAAGUGGAAAACGAUGUGAAGUUACUUAAACAACCAGGAGGUUGGCUUAGAAGCAGCCAUCCUUUAAAGAAAGCGUAAUAGCUCACUGGUCUAGUGAUUUUGCGCGGAAAAUAUAACGGGGCUAAAGUAAGUACCGAAGCUGUAGACUUGCGCACAACUUAGAUUAUUUAAGUUUAGAAUAUGAGAAACUAAGUUAUAUGUUUAGUUAUAUUUUUACUGAUUUUUAUAGAGUAAAGAUAGAAAUAAAACUUAGUAAAAUCAGUAAAAAUAUUCUUAGACUAAAGUUAAGUAGUUUAAGUUGUGUGCAAGUGGUAGGAGAGCGUUCUAUUUGCGUCGAAGGUAUACCGGUAAGGAGUGCUGGAGCGAAUAGAAGUGAGCAUGCAGGCAUGAGUAGCGAUAAUUAAUGUGAGAAUCAUUAACGCCGUAAACCCAAGGUUUCCUACGCGAUGCUCGUCAUCGUAGGGUUAGUCGGGUCCUAAGUCGAGUCCGAAAGGGGUAGACGAUGGCAAAUUGGUUAAUAUUCCAAUACCAACAUUAGUGUGCGAUGGAAGGACGCUUAGGGCUAAGGGGGCUAGCGGAUGGAAGUGCUAGUCUAAGGUCGUAGGAGGUUAUACAGGCAAAUCCGUAUAACAAUACUCCGAGAACUGAAAGGCUUUUUGAAGUCUUCGGAUGGAUAGAAGAACCCCUGAUGCCGUCGAGCCAAGAAAAGUUUCUAAGUUUAGCUAAUGUUGCCCGUACCGUAAACCGACACAGGUGGGUGGGAUGAGUAUUCUAAGGCGCGUGGAAGAACUCUCUUUAAGGAACUCUGCAAAAUAGCACCGUAUCUUCGGUAUAAGGUGUGGUUCGCUUCGUAUUAGGAUUUACUCCGAAAGCGAAGAAACUUACAACAAAGAGUCCCUCCCGACUGUUUACCAAAAACACAGCACUCUGCUAACUCGUAAGAGGAUGUAUAGGGUGUGACGCCUGCCCGGUGCUCGAAGGUUAAUUGAUGGGGUUAGCAUUAGCGAAGCUCUUGAUCGAAGCCCGAGUAAACGGCGGCCGUAACUAUAACGGUCCUAAGGUAGCGAAAUUCCUUGUCGGUUAAAUACCGACCUGCAUGAAUGGCGUAACGAGAUGGGAGCUGUCUCAAAGAGGGAUCCAGUGAAAUUGUAGUGGAGGUGAAAAUUCCUCCUACCCGCGGCAAGACGGAAAGACCCCGUGGACCUUUACUACAGCUUGACACUGCUACUUGGAUAAGAAUGUGCAGGAUAGGUGGGAGGCUUUGAGUAUAUGACGCCAGUUGUAUAUGAGCCAUUGUUGAGAUACCACUCUUUCUUAUUUGGGUAGCUAACCAGCUUGAGUUAUCCUCAAGUGGGACAAUGUCUGGUGGGUAGUUUGACUGGGGCGGUCGCCUCCCAAAUAAUAACGGAGGCUUACAAAGGUUGGCUCAGAACGGUUGGAAAUCGUUCGUAGAGUAUAAAGGUAUAAGCCAGCUUAACUGCAAGACAUACAAGUCAAGCAGAGACGAAAGUCGGUCUUAGUGAUCCGGUGGUUCUGUGUGGAAGGGCCAUCGCUCAAAGGAUAAAAGGUACCCCGGGGAUAACAGGCUGAUCUCCCCCAAGAGCUCACAUCGACGGGGAGGUUUGGCACCUCGAUGUCGGCUCAUCGCAUCCUGGGGCUGGAGCAGGUCCCAAGGGUAUGGCUGUUCGCCAUUUAAAGCGGUACGCGAGCUGGGUUCAGAACGUCGUGAGACAGUUCGGUCCCUAUCUGCCGUGGGCGUAAGAAGAUUGAAGAGAUUUGACCCUAGUACGAGAGGACCGGGUUGAACAAACCACUGGUGUAGCUGUUGUUCUGCCAAGAGCAUCGCAGCGUAGCUAAGUUUGGAAAGGAUAAACGCUGAAAGCAUCUAAGCGUGAAGCCAACUCUAAGAUGAAUCUUCUCUAAGCUCUCUAGAAGACUACUAGUUUGAUAGGCUGGGUGUGUAAUGGAUGAAAGUCCUUUAGCUGACCAGUACUAAUAGAGCGUUUGGCUUAUCUUUAAUAAAGCAU